Molecule: long non-coding RNA, 284 nt
Filed under: Mytilus galloprovincialis (Mediterranean mussel)
Lineage: Eukaryota; Metazoa; Mollusca; Bivalvia; Mytilida; Mytilidae
Source: RNAcentral
UUUUGGAUUCGAGCGUCACUGAUGAGUCUUUUGUAGACGAAAUGCGCGUCUGGCGUAUAUACAAAAUUUAGUCCUGGUAUCUAUGAUGAGUUUAUUUACAACCACUGGGUCGAUGCCACUGCUGGUGGAGAUUUAUUUCCCCGAGGGUAUUACCAGCCCAGUAGUCAGCACUUUUUGUUCUGACAUGAAUUAUCAUUGAUAUGGUUAUAUUUAUAAAUUAACUGUUUACAAAAUUUAGAAUUUUUGAAAAACUAAGGCUUUUCUACCUAAGGCAUAGAUUACCU